CCUACGGGAGGCAGCAGUGGGGAAUCUUGCGCAAUGGGCGAAAGCCUGACGCAGCGACGCCGCGUGUGGGAUGGAGGCCUUCGGGUCGUAAACCACUGUCGCGAGGGACGAAUAAAUUGACGGUACCUCGAAAGGAAGCACCGGCUAACUCUGUGCCAGCAGCCGCGGUAAU
RNAcentral lists this ribosomal RNA (172 nucleotides) under uncultured Gemmatimonadota bacterium. Its description in RNAcentral is "uncultured Gemmatimonadetes bacterium partial 16S ribosomal RNA". It matches the Rfam family "Bacterial small subunit ribosomal RNA", at positions 338 to 524 of the family's 1533-position model. The record is from RNAcentral. Lineage: Bacteria; Pseudomonadati; Gemmatimonadota.